RNAcentral lists this ribosomal RNA (472 nucleotides) under uncultured bacterium. RNAcentral describes it as "bacterial SSU rRNA". It matches the Rfam family "Bacterial small subunit ribosomal RNA", at positions 335 to 799 of the family's 1533-position model. The record is from RNAcentral.
ACUCCUACGGGAGGCAGCAGUGGGGAAUAUUGCACAAUGGGCGCAAGCCUGAUGCAGCCAUGCCGCGUGUAUGAAGAAGGCCUUCGGGUUGUAAAGUACUUUCAGCAGUGAGGAAGGUGGGUAUGUUAAUAGCAUACUCAUUUGACGUUAGCUGCAGAAGAAGCACCGGCUAACUCCGUGCCAGCAGCCGCGGUAAUACGGAGGGUGCGAGCGUUAAUCGGAAUUACUGGGCGUAAAGCGCAUGCAGGUGGUUUGUUAAGUCAGAUGUGAAAGCCCGGGGCUCAACCUCGGAAUUGCAUUUGAAACUGGCAAACUAGAGUACUGUAGAGGGGGGUAGAAUUUCAGGUGUAGCGGUGAAAUGCGUAGAGAUCUGAAGGAAUACCGGUGGCGAAGGCGGCCCCCUGGACAGAUACUGACACUCAGAUGCGAAAGCGUGGGGAGCAAACAGGAUUAGAUACCCUGGGAGGCGUAG